Long non-coding RNA from Engraulis encrasicolus (European anchovy), 426 nucleotides. RefSeq lists it as uncharacterized. The transcript is spliced from 2 exons. The record is from RefSeq and is a predicted model, not a curated record. NCBI's taxonomy places the organism in Eukaryota, Metazoa, Chordata, Actinopteri, Clupeiformes, Engraulidae.
GGACUGUGGUGGAGUUGGGCACAUCCAGAGGUUUUGCCCACUGCGACGCAGGUCUACUUCGGGUUUUUAGCGCCCCCUGCCACAGAGGGGCAUGUGGCAGGGACUGUCGCCCAUUCUGCUGGAGUGACCACCAAGUCCCAGAUUGUUGGAGAAUGCCCACGGGUAGAAGUGGAAGCUAAUGGAAAAAAGAUCCCAUGCGUCCUGGACACUGGCUCUCAGGUCACCCUGAACCCUGAGACGCACCAACCCGGCUGGACUGCACACCAUUCCCCGAACGCCUGCCACAAACCCCCUGAGGAGCAAACCUGUGCCGAACCACCUCCUCUUCCCAGCUAGCUCCCCCUUUUUACUCCCUCCUUUCACUUUAGCUACACACACGUUAGGGCCCAUACUUAACUUUAAAUAAAGAAACCAUUUGGAUUUUGA